GAUGUCCCUAAAGGUGUUGUAAGUGUGAUUGCUGUAUCACCCAUGCAUCAGCAGGUGGCAGAGAAAAGAGUGCAUG
RNAcentral lists this small nucleolar RNA (76 nucleotides) under Mus spicilegus (steppe mouse). RNAcentral describes it as "Small nucleolar RNA SNORA17 (ENSMSIG00000024445.1)". It matches the Rfam family "Small nucleolar RNA SNORA17", at positions 1 to 76 of the family's 132-position model. From Rfam's summary of the family: snoRNA ACA 17 belongs to the H/ACA family of snoRNAs and is predicted to guide pseudouridylation of the 28S rRNA at positions U4659 and U4598. It shares the same host gene together with ACA43. Lineage: Eukaryota; Metazoa; Chordata; Mammalia; Rodentia; Muridae. The record is from Rfam by way of RNAcentral.